UCAAAGUAAAUCUACCAGCUGUUGAGACUUCAAGACUGACAAAAGAGUUUGGGAACACGGUGCUAAUUGAAAACCUUUCAGAGGAACUCAGUCGCACUCUAUAGUCUGCAAAGCU
Molecule: long non-coding RNA, 115 nt
Filed under: Numida meleagris (helmeted guineafowl)
Lineage: Eukaryota; Metazoa; Chordata; Aves; Galliformes; Numididae
Description: lncRNA (ENSNMEG00000007826.1)
Source: RNAcentral